This 396-nucleotide ribosomal RNA is filed under the name uncultured bacterium. RNAcentral describes it as "partial 16S ribosomal RNA". It matches the Rfam family "Bacterial small subunit ribosomal RNA", at positions 523 to 918 of the family's 1533-position model. The record is from RNAcentral.
AUACGUAGGUGACAAGCGUUAUCCGGAUUUACUGGGCGUAAAGGGCGUGUAGGCGGUCUUGCAAGUCAGAAGUGAAAUUCCUGAGCUCAACUCGGGCGCUGCUUCUGAAACUGCAGGACUUGAGUGCUGGAGGGGAUAGCGGAAUUCCUAGUGGAGCGGUAAAAUGCGCAGAUAUUAGGAAGAACACCGGUGGCGAAGGCGGCUAUCUGGACAGUAACUGACGCUGAGGCGCGAAAGCGUGGGGAGCAAACAGGAUUAGAUACCCUGGUAGUCCACGCUGUAAACGAUGAUUACUAUGUGUGGGGGGACUGACCCCUUCCGUGCCGCAGUUAACACAAUAAGUAUUCCGCCUGGGGAGUACGGCCGCAAGGUUGAAACUCAAAUGAAUUGACGGGG